RNAcentral lists this ribosomal RNA (435 nucleotides) under uncultured bacterium. RNAcentral's name for it is "partial 16S ribosomal RNA". It matches the Rfam family "Bacterial small subunit ribosomal RNA", at positions 29 to 507 of the family's 1533-position model. The record is from RNAcentral.
AGCGAACGCUGGCGGCAGGCUUAACACAUGCAAGUCGAGCGGGCACUUUCGGGUGUCCGCGGCGGACGGGUGAGUAACGCGUGGGAACGUGCCCUCUGGUUCGGAAUAACUCAGGGAAACUUGAGCUAAUACCGGAUACGCCCUUUUGGGGUAAGGCUUGCUGCCGGAGGAUCGGCCCGCGUCUGAUUAGCUAGUUGGUGAGGUAACGGCUCACCAAGGCGACGAUCAGUAGCUGGUCUGAGAGGAUGAUCAGCCACACUGGGACUGAGACACGGCCCAGAAUCCUACGGGAGGCAGCAGUGGGGAAUAUUGGACAAUGGGGGCAAGCCUGAUCCAGCCAUGCCGCGUGAGUGAUGAAGGCCUUAGGGUUGUAAAGCUCUUUUAUCCGGGACGAUAAUGACGGUACCGGAGGAAUAAGCCCCGGCUAACUUCGUG